AGACCCGAAACCCGGUGAUCUAGCCAUGGGCAGGUUGAAGGUUGGGUAACACUAACUGGAGGACCGAACCGACUAAUGUUGAAAAAUUAGCGGAUGACCUGUGGCUGGGGGUGAAAGGCCAAUCAAACCGGGAGAUAGCUGGUUCUCCCCGAAAGCUAUUUAGGUAGCGCCUCGUGAAUUCAUCUCCGGGGGUAGAGCACUGUUUCGGCUAGGGGGCCAUCCCGGCUUACCAACCCGAUGCAAACUGCGAAUACCGGAGAAUGUUAUCACGGGAGACACACGGCGGGUGCUAACGUCCGUCGUGAAGAGGGAAACAACCCAGACCGCCAGCUAAGGUCCCAAAGUCAUGGUUAAGUGGGAAACGAUGUGGGAAGGCCCAGACAGCCAGGAUGUUGGCUUAGAAGCAGCCAUCAUUUAAAGAAAGCGUAAUAGCUCACUGGUCGAGUCGGCCUGCGCGGAAGAUGUAACGGGGCUAAACCAUGCACCGAAGCUGCGGCAGCGACACUCAGGUGUUGUUGGGUAGGGGAGCGUUCUGUAAGCCUGUGAAGGUGGCCUGUGAGGGUUGCUGGAGGUAUCAGAAGUGCGAAUGCUGAC
Molecule: ribosomal RNA, 594 nt
Filed under: Salmonella enterica
Lineage: Bacteria; Pseudomonadati; Pseudomonadota; Gammaproteobacteria; Enterobacterales; Enterobacteriaceae
Also listed under: 1 other name
Description: partial 23S ribosomal RNA
Rfam family: Bacterial large subunit ribosomal RNA
Source: RNAcentral